This 428-nucleotide ribosomal RNA is filed under the name Chloroflexota bacterium. RNAcentral's name for it is "Chloroflexi bacterium partial 16S ribosomal RNA". It matches the Rfam family "Bacterial small subunit ribosomal RNA", at positions 355 to 776 of the family's 1533-position model. Lineage: Bacteria; Bacillati; Chloroflexota. The record is from RNAcentral.
UGGGGAAUAUUGCACAAUGGGCGCAAGCCUGAUGCAGCCAUGCCGCGUGUAUGAAGAAGGCCUUCGGGUUGUAAAGUACUUUCAGCGGGGAGGAAGGGAGUAAAGUUAAUACCUUUGCUCAUGACGUUACCCGCAGAAGAAGCACCGGCUAACUCCGUGCCAGCAGCCGCGGUAAUACGGAGGGUGCAAGCGUUAAUCGGAAUUACUGGGCGUAAAGCGCACGCAGGCGGGUUGUUAAGUCAGAUGUGAAAUCCCCGGGCUCAACCUGGGAACUGCAUCUGAUACUGGCAAGCUUGAGUCUCGUAGAGGGGGGUAGAAUUCCAGGUGUAGCGGUGAAAUGCGUAGAGAUCUGGAGGAAUACCGGUGGCGAAGGCGGCCCCCUGGACGAAGACUGACGCUCAGGUGCGAAAGCGGGGGGAGCAAACAGG